AGGGUUUGAUCAUGGCUCAGGACGAACGCUGGCGGCGCGCCUAACACAUGCAAGUCGAACGGAGCUUGAAGAGCUUGCUUUUUAAGCUUAGUGGCGAACGGGUGAGUAACGCGUGAGUAACCUGCCCUAGAGUGGGGGACAACAGUUGGAAACGACUGCUAAUACCGCAUAAGCCCACGGGUCCGCAUGGAUCUGCGGGAAAAGGAUUUAUUCGCUUUAGGAUGGACUCGCGUCCAAUUAGCUAGUUGGUGAGGUAACGGCCCACCAAGGCGACGAUUGGUAGCCGGACUGAGAGGUUGAACGGCCACAUUGGGACUGAGACACGGCCCAG
Molecule: ribosomal RNA, 331 nt
Filed under: uncultured bacterium
Lineage: Bacteria
Description: bacterial SSU rRNA
Rfam family: Bacterial small subunit ribosomal RNA
Source: RNAcentral